Podarcis lilfordi (Lilford's wall lizard) is the source of this 71-nucleotide non-coding RNA. The record is from the annotation of a GenBank genome assembly. Lineage: Eukaryota; Metazoa; Chordata; Lepidosauria; Squamata; Lacertidae.
GCUGGGAUAACUCAGUCGGCAGAGCAUGAGACUCUUCAUCUUAGGGAGGUGGGUUCGAGUUCCACAUAGCA